This 1047-nucleotide ribosomal RNA is filed under the name Corynebacterium variabile. Its description in RNAcentral is "bacterial SSU rRNA". It matches the Rfam family "Bacterial small subunit ribosomal RNA", at positions 69 to 1120 of the family's 1533-position model. The record is from RNAcentral. Lineage: Bacteria; Bacillati; Actinomycetota; Actinomycetes; Mycobacteriales; Corynebacteriaceae.
AAAGGCCCUGCUUGCAGGGUACUCGAGUGNUUNAACGGGUUNNUAACACGUGGGUGAUCUGCCCUGCUCUUCGGNAUAAGCCUGGGAAACUGGGUCUAAUACCGGAUAGGACCAUCGUUUAGUGUCNGUGGUGGAAAGUUUUUUCGGUGCAGGAUGAGCUCGCGGCCUAUCAGCUUGUUGGUGGGGUAAUGGCCUACCAAGGCGUCNACGGGUAGCCGGCCUGANAGGGUGGACGGCCACAUUGGGACUGAGACACGGCCCAGACUCCUACGGGAGGCAGCAGUGGGGAAUAUUGCACAAUGGGCGCAAGCCUGAUGCAGCGACGCCGCGUGGGGGAUGAAGGCCUUCUGGUUGUAAACUCCUUUCAUUCAUGACGUUUCAUUAUGUGACGGUAGUGGUAGAUGAAGCACCNGCUAACUACGUGCCAGCAGCCGCGGUAAUACGUAGGGUGCGAGCGUUGUCCGGAAUUACUGGGCGUAAAGAGCUCGUAGGUGGUUUGUCGCGUCGUCUGUGAAAUUCCGGGGCUUAACUCCGGGCGUGCAGGCGAUACGGGCAUAACUUGAGUGCUGUAGGGGAGACUGGAAUUCCUGGUGUAGCGGUGAAAUGCGCAGAUAUCAGGAGGAACACCGAUGGCCAAGGCAGGUCUCUGGGCAGUAACUGACGCUGAGGAGCGAAAGCAUGGGUAGCGAACAGGAUUAGAUACCCUGGUAGUCCAUGCCGUAAACGGUGGGCGCUAGGUGUGGGGGUCUUCCACGACUUCUGUGCCGUAACUAACGCAUUAUGCGCCCCCGCCUGGGGGAGUACGGCCCGCAAGGCUUAAACUCAAAGGAAUUGACGGGGGCCCGCACAAAGCKGYGGAGCAUUGUGGAUUAAAUUCGAUGCAACCNSCRAARAACCUUACCUGGGGCUUUGACAUAUGCCGGAUCGGCGCANAGAUGCGUUUUCCCUUGUGGNCGGUAUACAGGNGGUGCAUGGUUGUCGUCAGCUCGUGUACUGAGAUGUUGGGUUAAGUCCCGCAACGAGCGCAACCCUUGUCUUGUGUUGCCA